UAGAUAGAGGUCGCGUACUUCAUGAGUCAUUUCCCGGAUGUGGCAGGCGCAGGAGAAGGGAGAGAAAAGGGGAGCACGCCGAAAGGAUUUAUCUUCUGCAGAUAGAUACCUUGGGCAUGAGGUGAAGAACCUUAUGACUGUCAUCUUUUAUGAGAUGGGGAGCUAUCGGA
Molecule: non-coding RNA, 170 nt
Filed under: uncultured Roseburia sp.
Lineage: Bacteria; Bacillati; Bacillota; Clostridia; Lachnospirales; Lachnospiraceae
Description: Lysine riboswitch
Rfam family: Lysine riboswitch aptamer
About the family: Riboswitches are metabolite binding domains within certain messenger RNAs that serve as precision sensors for their corresponding targets. Allosteric rearrangement of mRNA structure is mediated by ligand binding, and this results in modulation of gene expression.
Source: RNAcentral